Molecule: ribosomal RNA, 124 nt
Filed under: uncultured bacterium
Lineage: Bacteria
Description: partial 16S ribosomal RNA
Source: RNAcentral
GCCGGAGCUUCUUCUAACGCUACCGUCAUUAUCUUCACGUUUGAAAGUACUUUACAACCCUAAGGCCUUCUUCAUACACGCGGCAUGGCUGGAUCAGGGUUUCCCCCAUUGUCCAAUAUUCCUC